Non-coding RNA from Meleagris gallopavo (turkey), 475 nucleotides. The record is from RefSeq and is a predicted model, not a curated record. NCBI's taxonomy places the organism in Eukaryota, Metazoa, Chordata, Aves, Galliformes, Phasianidae.
ACCUCAACCACAUGCCUGCAGCAGGAUAGGAAGAAUCUAGGCUUAUACAUACACUUUUCUCCCUCCAGCUGCCAUGUUAAGGAAAUUGCCUAGACAUCACUGAUUCUUUGCUAUGAAGUUCAACCAACAGCCACUGUGUUACUGGGGAAAUGGAUGCUCUAUGGACAUUACAGGAAGACAGGACUUUGACCUGAUACCUGUGAUAAUUGCUGCGUAAAUACUGCAAGCUCAGGAUAUUAGCACUAGUUCUGAGAAACUCCACAGUGGGUCACAUUUAUUCCUGCACUGAAGAGCUGGUGGCACACCUUCCUACAAUCUCAUCUCCCAAGGUUCUCCUCAGCCCUAGGAUUCUCCUCCCUUUGUCUCGUACCCGUACCGGCCCUUUUCCUGUACCAUGCAUGACAGGAGCCAAAAUCCCAGUGAGGAGGCUAAUGAAGAGCCAAAUGAAAGUAUGCUUCUCUGAAAUACGUUUCCU